GACGAACGCUGGCGGCGUGCUUAACACAUGCAAGUCGAACGGACAGGCCCUGAUUUUGUGUGGUGCUCGAGUGGCGAACGGGUGAGUAUCACGCGAGUAACCUGUCCUUGUCUUUGUGAUAUCUCCAGGAAACUCGGGCUCAUACCGGAUAGGAGCUCCUGCUGCACGGUGGGGGUUGGAAAGAUUCGGUGGUUCGGGAUAGUCUCGCUGCUUACCCGCUUGUUGGUGAGGUAGUGGCUUACCAAGGCUUUGACGGGUAGCCGGCCUGAGAGGGUGACCGGCCACAAGGGGACUGAGGUAGGCCCCAGACUGCUACGGGAGGCAACAGUGGAGAGUAUGGCGGAGUGGGGGGGAGCGUGUUGCGACGGUGCUCCGUGCGGGAUGCUGUCCUUCGGGGUGUAAACCGCUGUCGACUGUGACGUAGCGUGAGUGACGGUAAUGGGUAAGAAAGCACCGGCUAACUACGUG
RNAcentral lists this ribosomal RNA (468 nucleotides) under uncultured bacterium. RNAcentral's name for it is "partial 16S ribosomal RNA". It matches the Rfam family "Bacterial small subunit ribosomal RNA", at positions 28 to 507 of the family's 1533-position model. The record is from RNAcentral.